This 778-nucleotide long non-coding RNA is filed under the name Daphnia pulicaria. RNAcentral describes it as "uncharacterized LOC124314959, transcript variant X2". The record is from RNAcentral. Lineage: Eukaryota; Metazoa; Arthropoda; Branchiopoda; Diplostraca; Daphniidae.
UUAGUUUUGACUUAGAGUUGAGACCGCGAAGCAUAUGCCAACAAAGGUUGAGAAUAUGUAAAGAAAACGGAACGAUUUCUAUUUUGAAAAUGUACUUGGCUGCACGAAAUAAUAAUGAAAAAAAAACAAGAACAAAUCAAUACGAAAAUGUGAUCGGCUCGUGUGAUGUGUCUGGUCUCUGAUGUCGUAGCUCUCCAUGCUCUCCACUCGAUGCUUUUUGGCGGAUUUGAGGCCAGAGCCAGCCAUCGUAACAACAUAUGAUACAGAAGUUCUGGGUCUGUCAUCAGUCUGUCUGUCCCACCUGUCAUCACCAAAUAUGUCAGCAUCACCGCUUAGAUACACAGCAUCCCCUUGCAUUGGAAAAACUACCGAUGUCAAUCAAGUUACGGAUCUCUCUUUUUCCCCUUUCUUUCAAUGUCCUCGUGUACGCCCAUGUGAAUAUGGGUGUAUUCACGAGGACACCCUUUACCCUAUCCCGCCUAGCUGUGCAUAAAGCACUUGUUCUUGCUAGACUAGUCCAUAUGCACCCUCAAUCGCCAGCUGUUGCUAUCGAGAUCUCAGGAUUGUAAACUGCUAUUGGUGAUUUUAGCCAUUCGACUUUCACGGAAGGCAGGUUAAGCCGGAAUGGAUGAAAUCGCCGCUACAACGAUGAGAAUUACAAUUGUGUAGACCAUAGAUGUUCGUUCGUUGCAGACCCGCAUGAAAUGGAAAGUAAAAGUGCUGAUGAAAUUGUCUCCUAAUAUGAGUAAAGCAAUAUAAGGAGAAGAUGUAAUCGAAA